CCUACGGGAGGCAGCAGUGAGGAAUAUUGGUCAAUGGACGAGAGUCUGAACCAGCCAAGUCGCGUGAAGGAUGACUGCCCUAUGGGUUGUAAACUUCUUUUAUAUGGGAAUAAAAUGUUCCACGUGUGGGAUUUUGUAUGUACCAUAUGAAUAAGGAUCGGCUAACUCCGUGCCAGCAGCCGCGGUAAUACGGAGGAUCCGAGCGUUAUCCGGAUUUAUUGGGUUUAAAGGGAGCGUAGGUGGAUUGUUAAGUCAGUUGUGAAAGUUUGCGGCUCAACCGUAGAAUUGCAGUUGAAAAUGGCAGUCUUGAGUACAGUAGAGGUGAGUGGAAUUCGUGGUGUAGCGGUGAAAUGCUUAGAUAUCACGAAGAACUCCGAUUGCGAAGGCAGCUCACUGGACUGCAACGGACACUGAGGCUCGAAAGUGUGGGGAGCAAACAGGAUUAGAUACCCGAGUAGUC
This 460-nucleotide ribosomal RNA is filed under the name uncultured bacterium. Its description in RNAcentral is "partial 16S ribosomal RNA". It matches the Rfam family "Bacterial small subunit ribosomal RNA", at positions 338 to 795 of the family's 1533-position model. The record is from RNAcentral.